GCAGAAGAUCUAUCUGGUCGCAAAGCAUCCAUGAUAAGGAGUUCACAGUCCUGUAGAAGUGGGUAAGUUUCUUCUGGUAUAUCACUUACAUCGCUGAUAUAACAUGUAUUCCCAAAUCGAAAGCCCAAAGAACGAUAACCAGAACCAUGCCAGACUGGUAAAGGAAUUACCUUAAGAUCAUGUACAACGAAUGGAUCUUCCUUUAUGAUGUUAAAUUGCAACUCUGAGACUGCAGCUCCCGGGAUGAUAUUACUUUUGUCUAUCAAAUAAUAGUGAGUUUUCU
Molecule: unclassified non-coding RNA, 283 nt
Filed under: Hevea brasiliensis (rubber tree)
Lineage: Eukaryota; Viridiplantae; Streptophyta; Magnoliopsida; Malpighiales; Euphorbiaceae
Source: RNAcentral